Molecule: long non-coding RNA, 1027 nt
Filed under: Zonotrichia albicollis (white-throated sparrow)
Lineage: Eukaryota; Metazoa; Chordata; Aves; Passeriformes; Passerellidae
Description: lncRNA (ENSZALG00000014929.1)
Source: RNAcentral
AAAAAAAAAAAAGAGAACGAAAAACCCGACAGAAAAGGAAAGACAGAUGUGUGCCUAUGAAUAACCUUCCAGCGCCUUGGUUAUAUCAGCUGUAUUUCAGCCGAACCUCGGAGAAAACAAUACCCAACCCUUCUGCCAGCAGUGUAGGGGGGGAAAAAGUUACCUUUAGGAAUCCUGAGGAGCGGCCCGAGCAGGGAGCGAGCUCUGGUCUUCAAUAAGCAGCAGCAGCACGCGAGUGGACAGGCGCCUUCCCACUGCACUGCCAGCACGCCACCCCUCCUGCACCUGGGAGCGAGAGGGAUUUGGGAUGUGAACAGUGGGCCAUGCAUUGUUCCUGAACCGUAAAACUGAUUUAUUUCAUUGCUAAAUCUCUGUGAGCUGCAGCACCGCGGCCUUGGGGGCAACGGGCCUGCGGCCGCCUCUGCGCUGGGCAGCAGGGCCCGGGUGGCUCCGCUGAGGGACCGCGACCUCCAGCUCUCUCUCCUGAAGGAUUACAGCAGCAGCAGAAGGAAAUAUAACCCCCAAAAGGCCGAUCUUUCAGUCAGCUCCAGGAACAGGAUGAAUGUGGCGUGGGGACCAAAGCAGGAGUAAAGAGCCGUGGUUUGUAAACAGCCCCAGCUGAGGAGAUGGAGAAGGUCCGGGUUAAAGCCAGCCCGGGUUAAAGCCAGCCCAGGUUAAAGCCAGCCCUGCAAACUCACGGUGCCUCUGGGCCCAGGGAGGCAAAGCUCCUCAAGGCAGCCUUGGUUUGGAGGAGGGACAGAAGGCGUUUCACUGAAAUUAGCGCGUUUUAGAGCCCUUUGGCUGUUCUGUAAAUACAACCACAGCGAGGGCUGGGUUAUGUCUUAUUUUUAAACAAAUUAGGUUGAGACAAAAGGGAUGCAAUGAAAGACGAAAUCAAGUAAGUUUAUAAACAGAAGCACUUCAAAGGCUGCUGGAAAGCCGGAGAAAAUAGGAGAAUUUCGUCUAAAGAAAAGAAAAUCUCUGCUGGUUAUUGCCCAUCGAUUUCAGUGUUCCUGUGAGCAAAAGG